Molecule: long non-coding RNA, 883 nt
Filed under: Phoenix dactylifera (date palm)
Lineage: Eukaryota; Viridiplantae; Streptophyta; Magnoliopsida; Arecales; Arecaceae
Description: long non-coding RNA (PDAC_LNC007533)
Source: RNAcentral
AAAUCGGGUACGAAAUCGAAAUGUUGUCCCAUCGGAUCUCGAGGCCUCAUCAUGGGUCCGCAGAAUCGAAUCGCCUUGAAGAACGAGCGGACGGCACCCCCGCUCCCCUCAUUUAAUAAGGCCCUGGGGCACGUGGAGCCCCGAUGUAGCCUCCAACUCGCCAGAUCCAUGAUCCGGUAACACGAGAUCGGAAACGUCCGACCUCAGAUCAUGCCGCGUGUCCAUUUUGAAACACAACGGCACACUCAUUGAUGAACGGGGAGCUUCGACCACAGGAUCAAGGCGCCGCCUCGCCGAGCUCGAGGACCCUCAUCAUGGGUCCGCCGCACGAAGCGACCUCGGUGAUCCAAGAAGCGCCACCCCCGUUACAGCCGCCUCGAAAAACGUAAGAAUACAAGCCUCAUCAUAAGUUCACUGAAUAAAGCAACCUCGAGGCACCAAAGGGCGCAAGUUUCACCAUAAAAACUCCGACAAACACAAGGGCGCGGACGAGAUUCGUCCAACCUUAAUGAUAGACUUUACUUCCCACGUCCGAGCCCGCAAGCCGCUCGAACUCGGAAGUCGGGGGGUAGUGUUGGGGGAAUAAGACUUUUCCCUCCAAUGACACGAAUGCCCCCGAGAAGCUGCACAAUCGCCGACCCUGGACAGCCGAAGUCGGCGUCCGACCUCGGAACGCCCGACCUCCAGACAUCCGGCCUCGAGACCUCCGACCUAGGAAAACCCUGAUGUUCAAAGUCUACCUUUAUCAGCCACCUACUACGGCCAUGCCCCUCUGAGGUCCGGCCGAGGACCAUACUCUGACGCCCCCCCCGGCAUUUAUUGCGCAUGGCUACUGUAAACCUCCAGUUCACUCAACAAUUAAUGCGGAUCUUCGGCUUACUCC